RNAcentral lists this ribosomal RNA (1332 nucleotides) under uncultured bacterium. RNAcentral describes it as "bacterial SSU rRNA". It matches the Rfam family "Bacterial small subunit ribosomal RNA", at positions 28 to 1381 of the family's 1533-position model. The record is from RNAcentral.
GACGAACGCUGGCGGCGCGCCUAACACAUGCAAGUCGAACGAGCAAGAGAGAGCUUGCUUUCUCAAGCGAGUGGCGAACGGGUGAGUAACGCGUGAGGAACCUGCCUCAAAGAGGGGGACAACAGUUGGAAACGACUGCUAAUACCGCAUAAGCCCAUGACCCGGCAUCGGGUAGAGGGAAAAGGAGCAAUCCGCUUUGAGAUGGCCUCGCGUCCGAUUAGCUAGUUGGUGAGGUAACGGCCCACCAAGGCGACGAUCGGUAGCCGGACUGAGAGGUUGAACGGCCACAUUGGGACUGAGACACGGCCCAGACUCCUACGGGAGGCAGCAGUGGGGAAUAUUGCACAAUGGGGGAAACCUUGAUGCAGCGACGCCGCGUGGAGGAAGAAGGUCUUCGGAUUGUAAACUCCUGUUGUUGAGGAAGAUAAUGACGGUACUCAACAAGGAAGUGACGGCUAACUACGUGCCAGCAGCCGCGGUAAAACGUAGGUCACAAGCGUUGUCCGGAAUUACUGGGUGUAAAGGGAGCGCAGGCGGGAAGACAAGUUGGAAGUGAAAUCCAUGGGCUCAACCCAUGAACUGCUUUCAAAACUGUUUUUCUUGAGUAGUGCAGAGGUAGGCGGAAUUCCCGGUGUAGCGGUGGAAUGCGUAGAUAUCGGGAGGAACACCAGUGGCGAAGGCGGCCUACUGGGCACCAACUGACGCUGAGGCUCGAAAGUGUGGGUAGCAAACAGGAUUAGAUACCCUGGUAGUCCACACUGUAAACGAUGAUUACUAGGUGUUGGAGGAUUGACCCCUUCAGUGCCGCAGUUAACACAAUAAGUAAUCCACCUGGGGAGUACGACCGCAAGGUUGAAACUCAAAGGAAUUGACGGGGGCCCGCACAAGCAGUGGAGUAUGUGGUUUAAUUCGACGCAACGCGAAGAACCUUACCAAGUCUUGACAUCCUGCGACGGUGCUGGAAACAGUACUUUCCUUCGGGACGCAGAGACAGGUGGUGCAUGGUUGUCGUCAGCUCGUGUCGUGAGAUGUUGGGUUAAGUCCCGCAACGAGCGCAACCCUUAUGGUCAGUUACUACGCAAGAGGACUCUGGCCAGACUGCCGUUGACAAAACGGAGGAAGGUGGGGAUGACGUCAAAUCAUCAUGCCCUUUAUGACUUGGGCUACACACGUACUACAAUGGCGUUAAACAAAGAGAAGCAAGACCGCGAGGUGGAGCAAAACUCAGAAACAACGUCCCAGUUCGGACUGCAGGCUGCAACUCGCCUGCACGAAGUCGGAAUUGCUAGUAAUCGCAGAUCAGCAUGCUGCGGUGAAUACGUUCCCGGGCCU